RNAcentral lists this ribosomal RNA (467 nucleotides) under uncultured bacterium. Its description in RNAcentral is "partial 16S ribosomal RNA". It matches the Rfam family "Bacterial small subunit ribosomal RNA", at positions 28 to 507 of the family's 1533-position model. The record is from RNAcentral.
GACGAACGCUGGCGGCGUGCUUAACACAUGCAAGUCGAACGAUGACGACCGAGCUUGCUCGGUCUGAUUAGUGGCGAACGGGUGAGUAACACGUGAGCAACCUGCCCUUCACUCUGGGAUAACCUCGGGAAAUCGGGGCUAAUACCGGAUAUGAGCUCCUGUCGCAUGGCGGGGGUUGGAAAGUUUUUCGGUGAAGGAUGGGCUCGCGGCCUAUCAGUUUGUUGGUGAGGUAGUGGCUCACCAAGGCGAUGACGGGUAGCCGGCCUGAGGGGGCGACCGGCCACACUGGGACUGAGACACGGCCCAGACUCCUACGGGAGGCAGCAGUGGGGAAUAUUGCACAAUGGGCGAAAGCCUGAUGCAGCGACGCCGCGUGAGGGAUGACGGCCUUCGGGUUGUAAACCUCUUUCAGCAGGGAAGAAGCGAAAGUGACGGUACCUGCAGAAGAAGCGCCGGCUAACUACGUG